GGUUAAGUUACUAAGAGUAUGCGGAGGAUGCCUUGGCACGAGAAGGCGAUGAAGGACGCGGCUACCUGCGAAAAGCUUCGGAGAGGCGGUAACAGCCUGUGACCCGGAGGUGUCCGAAUGGGGCAACCCUUCCCGAGUAAUGUCGGGAAACACCGCGCUGAAUUCAUAGGCGCGGAUGAGCUAACUGGGAGAAGUGAAACAUCUCAGUAACCCAUGGAAAAGAAAGAAACUCGAUUUCCUUAGUAGCGGCGAGCGAAAAGGAAACAGUCUAAACCGUACGGCACAUUCAAGGAUGCAACCGUUGUACCGUUGGUGUUGCGGGACCUUCCGACCGGAUUGCAUGACGGUCAAGGAGUAAGAAAUCAUUGUGUUAGCUGAAUCUUCUGGAAAGUUGAACCAGAGAAGGUGAUAGUCCUGUAGGCAAAAACGCAAUGACUCCUGAAGGUAUCCCAAGUAGUACGGAGUAAGUGAAAUUCUGUACGAAUCCGCCAGAACCAUCUGGUAAGACUAAAUACUCUCUCGUGACCGAUAGCGAACAAGUACCGUGAGGGAAAGGUGAAAAGAACUCCUAACAGGAGAGUGAAAUAGUACCUGAAACCGCAUACUUACAAACGGUCGGAGCGAUUCCGCUGAUGCUUGCAUCGGCGGAAGAGUGACGGCGUGCCUUUUGCUUAAUGAGCCUACGAGUUGCUCGUGCGUUGCAAGGAUAAGUUUCUGAGAAAUGAAUCCGUAGCGAAAGCAAGUCCUAAUCGGGCGAACCAGUAACGUGCGGCAGACGCGAACCCGUGUGAUCUACCCUUGGUCAGGAUGAAGUGGCGGUAAAACGCCAUGGAGGUCCGUACUGUUGUGGGUUGAAAACCGCUCGGAUGAACUGAGGGUAGGAGCGAAAGACCAAUCAAACUCGGAGAUAGCUCGUACUCCCCGAAAUAGCUCUAGGGCUAGCCUCAUGUUAUAGUAUCACGAAGGUAGAGCACUGAUUGGGCUAGGGUCGUCACAACGAUACCAAACCCAGACAAACUCCGAAUAGCGUUGAUACGUUUCAUGGGAGUCAGGCAGCGAGAGAUAAGUUCCGUUGCCAAAAGGGAAACAACCCAGACCGCCAGCUAAGGUCCCCAAAUCGAAAUUAACAGAGAAAGGAUGUUGAGUUGCUCAGACAACUAGGAUGUUUGCUCAGAAGCAGCAACCAUUUAAAGAGUGCGUAAUAGCUCACUAGUCAAGCGACUUAGCGCCGACAAUUCUCGGGACUAAAUUUCGUACCGAAGCUGCGGACUCCAUCCCGAUUUUAUCGGGACGGACGUGGUAGGGGAGCAUUCCAUCUGCAUUGAAGGUGCGGCGUGAGCCGUGCUGGAGCGGAUGGAAAUGCAGAUGUAGGCAUAAGUAACGAGAAGAGAAGUGGAAAACUUCUCCACCGAAAAUCUAAGGUUUCCUGAGCAACGUUAAUCGUCUCAGGGUUAGUCGAACCCUAAGGUGAGGCCGAAAGGCGUAACCGAUGGAAAACAGGUUUAAUAUUCCUGUACCUGCUUGCAAUCGUUUGAUCAUAAGGAGCGACGCAGAAGUGAAGUCCGGCCACCUGUCGGCUUAGGUGGUUUAACCGUGUAGGGAGAGCGUGUAGGAAAAUCCGCACGCUCGUUAAUCCCGAGGCGGGAACAGGGUGCCCGCAAGGGCCGCAACCGGACCUAAUCAGGCUGCCGAGAAAAACUUCGUAUGAGAGAGUGCAGACAGAUCGUACCGCAAACCGACACAGGUAGAUGGGAUGAAAAUUCUCAGGUGCUCGAGUGAGCCGUGGUUAAGGAACUCGGCAAACUGACCGCGUAACUUCGGGAUAAGCGGUGCCCAUAGUAUGUGAGGGUGUACAACCCGAGCAGAAUUGGGUCGCAGUGAAACGGGCCAAGCGACUGUUUAACAAAAACACAUGUCUCUGCCAAGACUUUACGUCGAAGUAUAGGGACUGACACCUGCCCGGUGCUGGAAGGUUAAGGAAGAGGGUCAAUCCCGAGCAAUCGGGACGAAGCUCUCGACCGAAGCCCCAGUAAACGGCGGCCGUAACUAUAACGGUCCUAAGGUAGAAUACAAAGCUGCCUGUCCCGCUGGCAACAGCGGGAGCAAUUCUCAACUAUUUGCGGGAACACUCUAAGAGUUUCAUCUACUCGUAAUGCCGCUGGCGUUGCAGUAAAAAUGAUGAAGAUUGAGCAAUCCGCAGGAAAUUUUUCCGAUAAGAUCGGGAGAAGAUCCUCAGAGACUUUACGUUGAGUAUCUUAACUCACUAACUGUCACUACAUAAUUUCAGGAAAACUGCUAUGACUUUGUCUCCGGAUUGGGUUUCCGGUUUUGUUGAUGGCGAAGGAUGUUUUUACGUCGGCAUCUACGAACAUCCGGAAAUGACUGCCGGAUAUCAGGUGCUUCCGGAAUUCCGAAUUGUUCAGCACGAACGAGAUAUUCAAAUCUUGUACGGCAUGAAGCGAUUCUUCAAAUGCGGCGUCGUGCGGAAAAAUCAUGAUGACCGUUAUGAGAUCAGAAUCAGGAAGAUGGAAUGUCUUCUCAGCGUUGUUGCUUUUUUUGAGAAGCAUUCAUUGAAGACAAAGAAAAAUGUUGACUUCAAAAAGUUCGCGCGUAUUGUGCGCUGGAUGCAUGAAGGAAAACAUUUACAGAAAGAAGGUUUGAUUGAAAUUAUUGAACUGGCAAUGCAGAUGAAUCGCGAAGAUAAAAUCAAAGCGAAAGAAAUUCUGCAGCGUUUGAAACAGUGUUAAGAUAAAGAUAAAGUCCACGUCUCGGAUGAAAGUCCAAGAUUUUUCGUGAGCGAAAUUCCUUGUCGGGUAAGUUCCGACCUGCACGAAUGGUGUAACGAUUUGGUCACUGUCUCAACCACGGGCUCGGUGAACUUGUGGUACCGGUGAAGACGCCGGUUACCCGCAUAUGGACGGAAAGACCCUAUGCACCUUUACUGCACCCUACUAUUGGGUUCGGACAAAGCAUGUGUAGCAUAGGUGGGAGGCUGUGAAGCCGGAGCGCUAGCUUCGGUGGAGCCAACAGUGAAAUACCACCCUUGUUUUGUUGGAAUUCUAACCUCGUUCCGUAAUCCGGGAUAGGAACAGUGGUAGGCGGGUAGUUUGACUGGGGCGGUCGCCUCCUAAAAUGUAACGGAGGCUCUCAAAGGUUCCCUCAGCAUGGUUGGUAAUCAUGCGGCGAGUGUAAAAGCACAAGGGAGCUUGACUGCGAGACAGACAAGUCGAGCAGGUACGAAAGUAGGAUUUAGUGAUCCGAUGGUUGCGCGUGGAAGCGCCAUCGCUCAAAGGAUAAAAGGUACGCUAGGGAUAACAGGCUGAUCUUGCCCAAGAGUUCAUAUCGACGGCAAGGUUUGGCACCUCGAUGUCGGUUCAUCGCAUCCUGGGGCUGGAGAAGGUCCCAAGGGUUUGGCUGUUCGCCAAUUAAAGCGGUACGUGAACUGGGUUCAGAACGUCGUGAGACAGUUCGGUCCCUAUCCUAUGCGGGCGCAGGAAACUUGAGGAGUGUCGUUCUUAGUACGAGAGGACCGGAAUGAACGGACCGACGGUGUAUCUGUUGUCACGCCAGUGGCAGUGCAGAGUAGCCACGUCCGGAUGGGAUAAGCACUGAAAGCAUCUAAGUGCGAAACCCGCUCCAAGAUGAGGUUUCCCUUCCGUCGCAAGACGGAACUAAAGACUCCAAGGAGAUGACUUGGUUGAUAGGCUGCAGAUAUAAAUCCGGCAACGGAUGAGUCGAGCAGUACUAAUAAGUCGUGCGGCUUGCCAAU
Molecule: ribosomal RNA, 3769 nt
Filed under: Bacteroidota bacterium
Lineage: Bacteria; Pseudomonadati; Bacteroidota
Description: 23S ribosomal RNA
Rfam family: Bacterial large subunit ribosomal RNA
Source: RNAcentral